This 459-nucleotide ribosomal RNA is filed under the name uncultured bacterium. RNAcentral's name for it is "partial 16S ribosomal RNA". It matches the Rfam family "Bacterial small subunit ribosomal RNA", at positions 338 to 795 of the family's 1533-position model. The record is from RNAcentral.
CCUACGGGUGGCAGCAGUGAGGAAUAUUGGUCAAUGGGCGCAAGCCUGAACCAGCCAAGUCGCGUGCGGGAUGACGGCCCUAUGGGUUGUAAACCUCUUUUAUCCGGGAAUAAAGCGCGCCACGCGUAGCGCUUCGCGAGUACCCUAUGAAAAAGCAUCGGCUAACUCCGUGCCAGCAGCCGCGGUAAUACGGAGGAUGCGAGCGUUAUCCGGAUUUAUUGGGUUUAAAGGGUGCGCAGGCGGCAGUUCAAGUCAGCGGUAAAAGUGCGGGGCUCAACCCCGUCCCGCCGUUGAAACUGGUGGUCUCGAGUUGGAGAGAAGUAUGCGGAAUGCGUGGUGUAGCGGUGAAAUGCAUAGAUAUCACGCAGAACUCCGAUUGCGAAGGCAGCAUGCCGGCGCCCAACUGACGCUGAGGCACGAAAGCGUGGGUAUCGAACAGGAUUAGAUACCCGAGUAGUC